UAGGUGGCGAGCGUUAUCCGGAUUUACUGGGUGUAAAGGGCGCGUAGGCGGGAAUGCAAGUCAGAUGUGAAAUCUAUGGGCUUAACCCAUAAACUGCAUUUGAAACUGCAUUUCUUGAGUGUCGGAGAGGUAGACGGAAUUCCUAGUGUAGCGGUGAAAUGCGUAGAUAUUAGGAGGAACACCAGUGGCGAAGGCGGUCUACUGGACGAUAACUGACGCUGAGGCACGAAAGCGUGGGUAUC
This 242-nucleotide ribosomal RNA is filed under the name uncultured bacterium. RNAcentral's name for it is "partial 16S ribosomal RNA". It matches the Rfam family "Bacterial small subunit ribosomal RNA", at positions 528 to 769 of the family's 1533-position model. The record is from RNAcentral.